This 73-nucleotide transfer RNA is filed under the name Ackermannviridae sp. ctaCq7. RNAcentral describes it as "tRNA-Pro". It matches the Rfam family "tRNA". From Rfam's summary of the family: Transfer RNA (tRNA) molecules are approximately 80 nucleotides in length. Their secondary structure includes four short double-helical elements and three loops (D, anti-codon, and T loops). Lineage: Duplodnaviria; Heunggongvirae; Uroviricota; Caudoviricetes; Pantevenvirales; Ackermannviridae. The record is from RNAcentral.
CAGUGAGUAGUUCAGUCGGUAGAACAUCUGUUUUGGGAACAGAAGGUCGUAGAUUCAAUUUCUACCUCACUGA